Molecule: ribosomal RNA, 90 nt
Filed under: Clostridiaceae bacterium
Lineage: Bacteria; Bacillati; Bacillota; Clostridia; Eubacteriales; Clostridiaceae
Source: RNAcentral
CCCGUUCCCAUCCCGAACACGGAAGUUAAGCUUCUCAGUGCCGAUGAUACUAGGCUGGAGACGGCCUGGGAAAGUAGGUCUCUGCCAGAU